RNAcentral lists this ribosomal RNA (757 nucleotides) under Vitularia salebrosa. RNAcentral describes it as "partial 16S ribosomal RNA". The stretch from base 1 to 585 matches the Rfam family "Bacterial large subunit ribosomal RNA", at positions 1816 to 2925 of the family's 2925-position model. Lineage: Eukaryota; Metazoa; Mollusca; Gastropoda; Neogastropoda; Muricidae. The record is from RNAcentral.
GGCUCCUUGUAUAUUAAAAAUAAGGAGUCGGGCCUGCCCAGUGAAUUUUUCAACGGCCGCGGUACCCUGACCGUGCAAAGGUAGCAUAAUCAUUUGCCUUAUAAUUGAAGGCUUGUAUGAAUGGUUUGACAAGAAUGGAGCUGUCUCUGUAUAAUUAAAUAGAAUUUUAUUUGUAGGUGAAAAAGCCUAUAUUAAAUUGAAAGACAAGAAGACCCUAUCGAGCUUUAAAAAAAUUAAUAAGAGCUAAAAAAGUAUUAAAUAUAUAAAGUUUAUUUGUUAAACAUUUUAGUUGGGGCGACUGAGGAACAUAUAAAGCUUCCUUUAUAGUUUAUAUAUACUUACAUGUUUUGAUCCAAAAUAUUUGAUUAAAGAAAAUAGUUACCGUAGGGAUAACAGCAUUAUCUUCUUUGAGAGUUCAUAUCGAAAAGGAGGUUUGUGACCUCGAUGUUGGACCAGAAUGUCCUGAAGAUGCAGCCGUCUUCAAAGGUUGGUCUGUUCGACCAUUAAAAUUCUACGUGAUCUGAGUUCAGACCGGCGUGAGCCAGGUCAGUUUCUAUCUUCAAUUUUUAUAAUAAAUUUAGUACGAAAGGACCAAUUUAUUGUAAUUAAUUUACUAAAAUUGAUGAAAUAUAAAUUAAUAUUAAAUUCUUUAAAUAUGUUAUCAAAUUAGCAAAGUUAAUGCAAUUGACUUAGGAUCAAUAGACAUAGGUGAAAAUCCUUUAUUUGAUAAAUAGAUAUAUAAAGGUGGCAGAAUUAA